UACGUAGGGUGCGAGCGUUAAUCGGAAUUACUGGGCUUAAAGCGCACGUAGGCGGCGCCGCAAGUGCGAGGUGAAAGCCCACGGCUUAACUGGGAGAGGCCGUUCAAAACUGUAAGGCUAGAGUGAGGCAGAGGAGCGCGGAAUUCCCGGUGUAGUGGUGGAAUGCGUAGAUAUCGGGAGGAACACCAGUGGCGAAAGCGGCUUCCUGGACCAGCACCGACGUUCAGGCACGAAAGCGUGGGGAGCAAACAGG
RNAcentral lists this ribosomal RNA (253 nucleotides) under uncultured bacterium. RNAcentral's name for it is "partial 16S ribosomal RNA". It matches the Rfam family "Bacterial small subunit ribosomal RNA", at positions 524 to 776 of the family's 1533-position model. The record is from RNAcentral.